CCUGCUGUAGCGCCACUGACGCUGAUGCUCGAAAGCGUGGGUAUCGAACAGGAUUAGAUACCCUGGUAGUCCACGCGGUAAACGAUGGAUGCUCGCUGUGUGCCUUUGAGGUACGUGGCCAAGGGAAACCAUUAAGCAUCCCACCUGGGGAGUACGCCGGCAACGGUGAAACUCAAAGGAAUUGACGGGGGCCCGCACAAGCGGAGGAACAUGUGGUUUAAUUCGAUGAUACGCGAGGAACCUUACCCGGGCUUGAACUGCCAGCGGACGAUUCAGAGAUGAUGAGGCCCUUCGGGGCGCUGGUGGAGGUGCUGCAUGGUUGUCGUCAGCUCGUGCCGUGAGGUGUCGGCUUAAGUGCCAUAACGAGCGCAACCCCUUUCGUCAGUUGCCAUCAGGUAAAGCUGGGCACUCUGGCGACACUGCCACCGUAAGGUGUGAGGAAGGUGGGGAUGACGUCAAAUCAGCACGGCCCUUACGUCCGGGGCUACACACGUGUUACAAUGGCGCAUACAGAGAGUCGGUCCUGCGCAAGCAGGGUCUAAUCAUGAAAGUGCGUCGUAGUUCGGACUGGGGUCUGCAACCCGACCCCACGAAGCUGGAU
Molecule: ribosomal RNA, 601 nt
Filed under: uncultured bacterium
Lineage: Bacteria
Description: bacterial SSU rRNA
Rfam family: Bacterial small subunit ribosomal RNA
Source: RNAcentral